CAGCGUGGUGGUGGUAAACAGCUGACUGACGCCGCCUGCCUCGCUCUCCCAGUCCAGCAAGUCUCUGUUCAAAGUGUAGCGUGUGUCUCUCUCUCACUCCGGGACUAUUUUAACCAGGAAAUAAGGCUCUAUUUUAAGGAUGGCUGAGUGCAUGAUGCUGCUGAGUGCGAGAGACCGCUGGUGUAACGAGAAGCUAGAGUUUGUGUGUGCUGUGGUGGAGGGCGUGGACCGGGCGAGUCUCAGAGCCCAGCUGGAGUCGUGCGAGACGGAGGAAGAUGCCGAGGGUCUCAUGCACAGUCUCUUGUGGCUCCAGGACUGUCACAACGCUCAGAUGGCCGCCUUCCAGUAUGACGAAGAGCCACAACAAUCACUACAAUCACAGCCAGAUGAUGCAGCCACGGAGGAACCCAAUCUCUUAUCAGUAUUUGAUGGGUUAGAUUUAACAGAGGACGACAACGACUUGAGAAACGACCCCACACACGACCCCCAACUACAGUUUGUACGUAUCAGGCAGCAGGAGGGGCAACAGCAGAACGAUGCGCCCGUGACACAGAUCCUCCUGACGCAGCAGCAAAUCACCACCCCGAGGCAGUACCCACGACUCCCCCUCCAUGACCCAGACUACCCUGAGGUGUGGGGGGAGUGUGAGGACCUCAACGAGUACCUGGAGGAUGAGAACCACUCCCUACUUUAUCCUCACAACCCAAACAAUCCUCUCCAACUUCUGCAGGAACGACACGAAGACGUUCCGCAGGAAGAAGACGAGGAGGAGGAAGAAAAAGGCGCAGUAGCUGCAGUACCAGCAGCAGCAGAAGACAUCACAGCAGCAGAAGACAUCACAGCAGCAGAAGACAUCACAGCAGCAGAAGACAUCACAGCACAUAUAAUACCAGCAGCAGAAGACAUCACAGCACACACAAUACCAGCAGCGUCGAAAGAGGAGGACACGGCGAAUGACCAACUAGUGGCACAGCUACUAGCAGACGAGGAGGAGGAACAACUUGUCGGUGAGGAGACGACGGGGGACGAGCAGCUAGCGAGGGAACUGGCGGAGGAACUAGCACAGGAGGAGGCGGAGGGAGAGGAGACGGAGGAGGAAAAGGCAGCAACUGACGUCGCUAUCCUCAUGAACAUGUUUCCUGACGCCGAGCCGGAGUACCUGCAGGAGAGGAGUGUGGAGGUGAAAGGGGAGGAAGAGGCUUUUGGUGAGCUGGUCGAGGAACUACUUCAGCUCAAGACAACAGAGCCAAGGAUGAGCGGGUACCUCAAGCGUCAGAAGACACACUCCUCCAACAGCCCUGAGGAGGACAUACCUGCGCCUCUCUUUGACCCCAGCAAGGACGUGACAGCCAACGAGCUCCACGAGUGCUCCAUCUGUUACGAGGAGGAGGUGCUGGAGAAGAACAUGGCCACCUGCAAUGCCUACACCAACUACCACAAGUUCUGCAUCGACUGUAUCAGGAAGCACGUAGCAGCACAGAUAGGCCAGGGACACUCCUCCUUCAAGUGCAUGAAUGGUUACUGUAAAUGUGAGUUCUCUUGGAGGACACUGAAGAGGGUGAUGGAGCCUGUAGUGUUCCAUAAGAUACAGGAGAGAAAGCAACAGGACGAGAUAAUGAGAGCGGGUAUUGAGAACCUCACGGCCUGCCCCUUCUGUAACUUCAUGAUCAUUAUGCCCAACGAGGAUGACAAAGUACUCGAUUGCCUAAAUCCCGAGUGCCUCAAGGAAUCCUGCAGGCUGUGUAAGGAGGUGUCACAUGUGCCGCUCCGCUGUGAGGAGGUGGAGAGAGAGACACAGAAGGAUGCUCGUGUGGUGCUGGAGAACCAGAUGGCUGAGGCUAUGAUCAGUUGUUCUCCUGCUUUAGUGCUGGGUUGCUAGACAGGUGUUAGCUGGUUGCCCCAUUCUUAAGCAAUAAGUCAGUGGGUUCCUCCAUCACCUUGGCCAGAUGCUAGACCACCCAAGGGUUGUUCCACCAUAGCCAUGUACACCUAAUAGUGAAGUGAAGGAAUGUCCGUACUGCAAGAAGAGAUUCAUCAAGGAGGCCGGCUGCAACAAGAUGAUGUGUUCCUGUGGCACCGCC
RNAcentral lists this unclassified non-coding RNA (2081 nucleotides) under Homarus americanus (American lobster). RNAcentral describes it as "protein Ycf2-like, transcript variant X3". Lineage: Eukaryota; Metazoa; Arthropoda; Malacostraca; Decapoda; Nephropidae. The record is from RNAcentral.